UACGGGGGGGGCAAGCGUUGUUCGGAAUUACUGGGCGUAAAGGGCUCGUAGGCGGCCAACUAAGUCAGACGUGAAAUCCCUCGGCUUAACCGGGGAACUGCGUCUGAUACUGGAUGGCUUGAGUUUGGGAGAGGGAUGCGGAAUUCCAGGUGUAGCGGUGAAAUGCGCAGAUAUCAGGAGGAGCACCGGUGGCGAAGGCGGAUCUCUGGGCCAUUACUGACGCUGAGGAGCGAAAGCGUGGGGAGCGAACAGG
Molecule: ribosomal RNA, 253 nt
Filed under: uncultured bacterium
Lineage: Bacteria
Description: partial 16S ribosomal RNA
Rfam family: Bacterial small subunit ribosomal RNA
Source: RNAcentral